AUCCAGCUGACGAGUCCCAAAUAGGACUAAGUAGCGCGCGUCCUGGAU
This is a non-coding RNA of Schistosoma mansoni, 48 nucleotides long. The record is from Rfam. NCBI's taxonomy places the organism in Eukaryota, Metazoa, Platyhelminthes, Trematoda, Strigeidida, Schistosomatidae.